GAUGAACGCUGGCGGCGUGCUUAAUACAUGCAAGUCGAGCGAACAGACGAGGAUCUUGCUCCUCUGACGUUAGCGGCGGACGGGUGAGUAACACGUGGAUAACCUACCUAUAAGACUGGUAUAACUUCGGGAAACCGGAUCUAAUACCGGAGAAUAUAUUGAAGAGCAUUGUUGAAUGGUAAAAGAUGGUUGGGUGGGUAGUUAGAUAGGUAUUACGGUUGGUUUAGGUAGUUGUUUAGGUAAAGGGUUACCAAGGCAACGAUGGGUAGGCGAGCUGAGAGGGGGGUCGGCCACCUUGGAACUGAGACGCGGACCAGACUCCUACGGGAGGCCGCAGUAGCGAAUCUUCCACACUAGUCUAAAACAUUACACAACAACAGCAAGUCAGUUAUGAAGGUCUUCGGAUCGUAAAACUCUGUUAUUAGGGAAGAACAAAUUUCUCAUUAAAUAUGCCCGUAUUAACAAUCACUCAUCAGAAACCACCGGCUAACUACCUG
Molecule: ribosomal RNA, 497 nt
Filed under: uncultured bacterium
Lineage: Bacteria
Description: partial 16S ribosomal RNA
Rfam family: Bacterial small subunit ribosomal RNA
Source: RNAcentral